This 121-nucleotide ribosomal RNA is filed under the name Phlaeoba tenebrosa. Its description in RNAcentral is "12S ribosomal RNA". The record is from RNAcentral. Lineage: Eukaryota; Metazoa; Arthropoda; Insecta; Orthoptera; Acrididae.
AUUAUUCAUUUAUGCAUAUUUAUUUUUACUAGUUAUGUUUCAUUUAUUUCUUUAAAGUUUUAUUCUUGCUUAUUUAUUCGCUUUUUCUUUGUAUUAUAUGCAAGUUUUGUUAAACUAAAUG